AUGCUGAGGGAAUUGAUGAAAUCUAAAGGAAAUAGCCUUAUGGCUAUUGAAGUAGUCGAGGAAGAGAGAUUUGAGGAUGCCCCUUAUGGGGCUGGAUCGUGUUCGACUGGAAUCGUGCCAAUUCCUGGAAGCUCUGUGUGUGGGUCGUCGGCUCCGGCAAGUUCUGAGAUCGACGGUGAGCUCGUUUGUGCGAGAGGGAGGGGGAAUUGUUUGAACGAGCCGCGGCUGGGACCUGCGGCUGUCCUUGCACCGUUGAUCUCAGGACGGGUGGUGCAUGCGAAAGCGGCUUCUAAAAAUACGCGUCUCAGGUUAGGUAAUAGCGAUGAGGAGGAGGUUGCGGAUUUUUACGGGCAGUUGUGGGUUGUCCCAUCCCCCCGCCGCCACCCUCGUCCUCAUAUACCACAUCACCAGCCUCCUAACCCUAAAUUCGCCAUUCCCAAGCUCUUCUGGGUGAGGAAGGAUAUGUUCCAAUCCAAAUCCUUCACCAUCGAGGAUUGCUUCCCAGUUCCUCAUCCUGGUCUUGACCCUACCCCUACCAAAUUUCAGAUAACAGUGCCUGGUUUUUUGCUGGGGAGUAGAUCAUUUGCUGAGGUAGUGAGAGAUAUGGAGAAUCAGGGACAAGGUAACCGGAAUUGCCAGCCUCCGGCAGCAAAGAAGGCGGCACCAACUCAGGAAGGAAGAUCUGCGGGUCCUCCUCAGGUGAUCCCAGUCCAGCACGGAGGAAACAAGACGGGUGGAGGGGGGAAACAAGCUCCAGCCCCUGCCCCAGCCCCAGCCCCGGCCCCGAUCCCUCAGGCCCCUCAACCUGCCCCUUUGGUUCAACCUCUAGAUCCAAGGUAUAAGGAGAUGACUUGCUUCAAUUGUGGCUGGCCUGGAGACUAUGUUGGCAAUUGUAUCGAAGCCAAGAAAUGUUUUAUAUGA
This 921-nucleotide ribosomal RNA is filed under the name Triticum aestivum (bread wheat). RNAcentral's name for it is "partial small subunit ribosomal RNA". Lineage: Eukaryota; Viridiplantae; Streptophyta; Magnoliopsida; Poales; Poaceae. The record is from RNAcentral.